AUGUGCGUUCCGAAGAAGAACAGUGGAAUGGAGUUUAGGGACCUUCACAACUUUAACAUUGCUAUGUUAGCAAAGCAGCAUUGGCGACUUCUCCAAAAUCCUAAAUUUUUAUGUGCGCGAGUUCUAAGAGCCAAGUAUUAUCUGGAGGGUGACAUACUUUCAGUAGGUCCAAAGAAAGGGUCCUCCUUUACUUGGCAAAGUAUUGUCGCUGGUAUUCAAACUUUCAAAAGUGGGUGUAUAUGGCGAGUUGGGUCAGGCUCACAAAUCAAAAUUUGGGAAGACCCUUGGAUUCCAUCUAGUGAAACAAGAAGAGUCAUUACCAACGGAGGAGUGACAAUGUUAUCCAAGGUGGAAGAGUUUAUUGACCCUCACACGGGAAAGUGAGAUGAUGAGCUUAUUCAUGAUGUGUUUUAUCCUAUUGAUGUGAACAAAAUUUUGCAAAUCCCGCUUCAUGUUGAGGCUGUAGAGGACUUCGUGGCUUGGCAUUUUACAUGUUUAGGUACCUUUUUAGUAAGGUCGGCUUAUCAUGUGGAGUUCAACCAUCAGUUUGGUCACCGCUUUGCUAGAGCUAACUGUCUUGGGAGAUCUCAGUUAGACCCGGUCUGGAAAGAACUAUGGCAUAUGCGCAUACCUGGAAAGAUUAAGCAUUUUGGAUGGAAGGUGCUCAAGGGCGCCCUACCAUGCCUAGGAGUCCUAGCGGACAGACACAUUCCCCUAAUGCCUCAAUGCCCACAUUGUAAGGUUGGACUGGAGGACAUACAACACUGUCUAUUUACCUGCUCACGUGCAGUUGAUGUUUGGACUGAAUUAAAACUGGCGGAAACCAUCAAGUCUGUAGUGGCUCAGGACCGGUCGGGCUCAAUAAAUCUAGAGUUUCUUCUCCAAGAUCGCUCCGUGGUCCAUGAACCACCAGCAGCCGAGUUGAUCAUUGUGGCCAUGUGGUAUAUUUGGUGGCAGAGAAAACAAGGCAUGAAAGGAGAGACUAUCCAGUCCCCGGAACGUACAACAAUGUCUAUCUGUGUUCUUGCUACUAACUUUACCCACAGUUGUACGCCGAACUAG
RNAcentral lists this ribosomal RNA (1062 nucleotides) under Triticum aestivum (bread wheat). Its description in RNAcentral is "partial small subunit ribosomal RNA". The record is from RNAcentral. Lineage: Eukaryota; Viridiplantae; Streptophyta; Magnoliopsida; Poales; Poaceae.